AGUUUUAAAAUAAUUAAUGUGGUCCAAAUUACACCAAAAAAACUGUUAUAUGACUUUAUGAAGUUUAUUUUAAUAUUACAACUGCAGUUUAUAUUCAAAUAAUGAAACAAUGAGGAUCCYAUAAAGACAAAAUCUGAAAUUUGGUUAAAUUUUUCUGAAGGUUUCUUCCAGUUAAGAGUUUUUUUUCCUCUCCACUGUCACCUGCUGACUUACAAUGUCAAAUAUGAGAGACGUUUCAGUGCAAUCUCAUACAGUAGCUCUGUUUGUUAGAUAAUACUUUGAUACUGCAGAGAACCGUACUGAAAUUAAAUGAACUGGAUGUAUUGUUGGUGAAGAUAAGAUCUGGAUGUUUUAMCUUUGUAUAUAUUUGUUUGAUCACCAUUUUAAGCUUUAAUAUUUCCUYUAUUUCUUGAGUAAAAUAUCUGAGUACUGAGUAAGCUGUCCUAAUAAACCUUAAAUUCAUUGAGUCCAGACAGAACUGAAGGUUUUGACUCUUUUGAGAUGUAACCAGUGGGAGCUUGUCACCAACAAAAACGCUCUUGAAGUGUUAAAAUAUCAUUACAGCCUUUCAAAAAAGAAAAAGCCUUGAAGACUUUGAAACAUUAUUGUUACAUAAUAUAAGUAAGAGACAGGGGGRAAAAAGAAAACUCAAACAAGGGGGCAUUGAUUUCAAAGACUUAUGCCUGGAGAUACAUUCAGCCCAGUUUACUGUUUGACUGAGCCUUUUGUGUUAAAUAAAAAAAAAAAAAAACAUGUUCAAAAUACUCAAUGACACAAAAAGCCAAACAUAAAAGCAGAUGGAGAAAAAAAAACACAUUUACACACAACGGACGCCAAUAAAUGAUUUAUUUUAUUGAAAGGCAUAACCCACUCCUUUUUAUAAAAAAGUAAAUAUAAAUUUCAAAUGAAUCUUUUAGGUCAUUACUUACAAAAGCUUAUUGAGUGUGUCUUUAAUGUCAAAAAUACAACAAUUAUGGAACAAACACAGUGAGAGUUUGUAUAGUAAACCUAUAUAAUUUCACUACUUCAAGUUAUUGUGUAAAUAUGUCAAAAAUAAAACUUAAAUUGUUUUUGUCUUUAAAUAUUUAAGAGGUAUGAAGGUAUUUUUAAAAAAUAUUGUUGAAUCAAGUGACAUUUCAACAGUUCUGAAACAAUACAACUAUAUGAUGAUACAUGAUCAUCGAUGAAUGACUGACAAUUCAAAAUAAAAAAGGUAGAACAGGCUUUAACAGUUCAUUUAGAAAAUAAAAGCAAAAAAACACAUAAUUUACAAGAAAAAUGAAAAACAUCUAACAUUAGAUGGAAUCUAAUAACUGUUCAUUUAAAUUUUAAACAUAUUUUACUGCAUUAGGUGUCAUAUUUCUUUUUUUUUUGUUAGUUGAUGUUGUUCAAAUACUCAAGUACACAACACUGAAACAGUAAAACGUGCAAGAAGCAAAGCAUUAAAAACUGAGCCUCGUCGUAUCAGAGACGACUGGAUUGCACUGAGUUGUUUUCUGUUUCAUCAACAUUUGAUAUUUAGAUUCGUCAAACCCUCAGAAAAAUAAGUUGCCUAUCAGUUUUAUUUUGGUGAAAUGUAUGAAAAAAAAGUAAGCCACAUGAGAAACCCGCAUCACUCCUUUGACCUUUUAAUAAUGAUCACAAACAUCUCUGCUGACAAUGGAACAACGUUCCAACCAGCUCAUAUAAAGUUCACUGACUUAUAUUUUUAUAAAAAUGUUGUAAUAUGUCGCUCUUGAAUAGCUCAGUUUUGUUGGUUGUUUGUCACAUUUGCAUUGAAAAUAUAUUCCUCAAAAUAAAAUGUUUUGGUGCAAAAGAUUAAUAGUUUGUGUUGAACUGCAAGCUUUUCACAUAUAUUAGUAACAACAAUUCAAAAAAAAUAUUAAUAUAAAAUAAUUCAAAAUUCUUUAUUCUUUUAUCAUAUUUACACCCAUCUAAAUUUUAACUCAUUCACUCCACUAUUUUAUAAUAAACUGUCUAAAAAUAUUGCAUGUGCUCCUUUAGUCUUAUUUAUUAUUUGUGCUUUUUAAAAUAGUCCUUGCUAUAUGUUUACUUUUGUAAAUUCUGUUGUUUGAAGCUAAUUAGAACAGAAACAAUCUGAAUUUUUCUCUCUCAUUUGAAACCAUAAAGGGGUAUUAAUGUUGGCUUUUCUUCUAAAAUUGAAUAGUUUUUUUGGGGUAAAUAUUGCACAGAACCUCCAGAGUGUGCACCAGAAACAUGUAAAUAAUUAAAUAUUCUCUUUUGCUGACAGCUCUCAAAUCCUCAUAUUUAAUUUAAUCAAUCUCAUACUGUGAAAGCUUCGGGAGGUGGAGGAAUCGACUUUAUCAUUGUUUCUAGUUUAAAUGAUUUUUUUUUGGUCUCUUACAUUAGCUGAAGUCUUCCCAGACUUUUAAAACCAUUUAUUGUGAGUGAAUUCGUUUUGAAGCGGCCAACAUUUUGUUUCCAGGUGAAAUUUGAUGAGAGGUUCUGCUGUCUGGGAUUGUGUGGAUAAAUAAGUUUGUACUCUCAUUAAAUGGUGAAUCACCUCAGCUCUUUUCUCCUCAUCAGCAGAAGUGUCUGUUUCAAACCUUGUGUUCCUUCUAAUCAAAUCUCUCUGAAACACCUGGCCAUGGCUUCCACCUCAGCUGGUGUUGCCUUUGACUUCCUGUGUGUGUGUGUGUGUGUUUGUGUGUGCCUGAGUUGUACUGGGGACAUGCAUGUGUUCACGUGAAGAAGUGCAAUAAAAGACCACAUAUGCUUUAUAGCCAUUAGCCCUUCUAUUCUGCAGAGGUUUUCAGGGAGAGAAAGCUUCAUUUGACAUUGUCAUGGACUAAUUAUUCAUAUCUGUUUCACCUUGACACUGUCCAUCACUCGUAUCUUUCUGACAGCUCAUUUCGGCUCGUAGUCUGUUUGUUUCUGGACGUCAGGACUCCACAACGGACUGAACUCUCUUGUUUGAUAACAGACUCUUUGAGCUAGGAGCCCUGUCAUAGGCUGGACAGUAUAUUUGGCAAUCUGUGAUUGGUUGUAAACUGUCACAUGGUGUUAACAUAAUGUUAUAUUACUGGCUGUUUUCUGCUGACGAGUCAGUUACAAUCAUGCAGAACUUCCUGAUUCAGUUAUGUUUAUUUGUCGCUCAUAAUUAAAUCAUAUUUGAUUAUCAUACACGCAGACUUUUCUGGCAUUAUUCCAACUUGUUUCUGCUUUUUGUGACGACAGACAUGUUUAUAUGAUGAAUGUAUUUUCAUUACAGUGAAACUUGUGUUUCUGCUUCCAUUUAUUUUUUUUUCUGUUCAGGUUUUGUAUAUUUUAAACACAACAUAAAGACAAUAUAAAGAAAAGUGCAUUUAAACCAUGUUUAAAGUGAGGUGAUAAUGACCAAUCAAAAACUAACCUAAAGCUUUUUGUUCAACCUCAGUUUGAGUUUAAUUCAGACUGGAGCAGCAAAACAGCCAGUCUGAGUUGUGGUAAUAAAAUAACUCAAAAUUCAAACAUUUCAUAGUGAUUAAAAUGUUUUUUUAUUUGUUUUUCUUUAUAAGCCCUCAAAUCACAUCAAACUCAGGGCCUGCAGUCUAAAUUUGACUCUUUUUAACAUUUUAUCCAGCCCCAAAGGUAAUAUUUUUUGUCACAUUCGUCUCAUUUGAAGGUCAGCUUUCAAGCCAAGAAAACUAAGUUUAAAUUUUUUUAGUCAGUGUUGAUAUUGGUGCAGAAAGAGCAACAGAAAAUCAACUUUAAUUAUCUUUUGCUGUAUUCGUUUCUUAUUUAAAAGUCAAAUAACUGGAUUUUUAGUGAGGGUUUAAUUUGCUGUAUUGUGAUAAAAUGUAUCUUUAAGAAAUAAUAAUGAAAAUAAGAAAAUAAUUUAAUGAUGUGUCUUUCUAGAUUUUAUCAUAUUUUCUCUUUAUCUGUCAGGUUAUGUAUGUUCUGAAUGCUACAAUAAACAUAAUGUAGUAAAGGUUAUGUGUUUUUCUAUAAGACUAACUUGUAAUAUAGUGUUUAUUUUUAUAAAUAUUGACAGAAAUCGGCCCUUGGCUUGGACCAUGUUUUUAAUUUUGGCCAACCUUGUGUAAUUGUGUUUGACACCCCUUCUUUAAAUUGUCAGUAAUUUCCCAUUACUGGGUUAUUUUUACUUGCUAGCAUGAACAGCAGCAGCAGUAGCACUUCCCACGAAAAUGUCAAAAUAAAACAUUUGAGAGAUUAAAAUGUGUGUAUUCAUUUUUAUCUGUGUAACAAUGUUUAGGGGUUGUUGCUAAUAAACAGCAUGAUAUGCAGGAAUGUCUGUGUUCAUCUUUAAAGCCAAUUUAAGAGAGACAUAAUGUGAAUCUGUGGUCUAAUAGUCAAUUCUUUAAUUAGCUACUGCUUCACAUGUCAUUUAAACAUAUUUUACAGCAAUAACAAACCAACCACCUGGAAUAAAAACAGUCUAUUAAUUCAAGGUAAAAAAUUUUUUUCCUUUAAACAGCGAUGAAGAAAGCCUGGAAAUUGUGAACUUCCUGGUGGAUGUGCCGGAUGUUAGUGAGUACCUGAAAAAGUCAUUUGAAGGCUUGGCGUCGGUUCGAGAGCAGCCAGGAGGUUUGCUCUGCUGCUCCUGGAGGCUUUUAGAAAUCUGCACAACUCAUCAAGCAGUUUUUCACUUGUUUGUUUGAUGGCUUGUUCUUAAAGCUCGGCGCACAGAAGUGAAACCGUUUCCUUCCCGACGCUCUGCACCGUCUCUGAUCACUUUCAUUACUUGUUCUAAAUGAGACUUACGGCWCUGCGGGCUGCACUAAUAGGAAGCUGCUGCCAAGUUCAAAUAAAGUCACUUUUUGUCUUCAAAGGAAAAUUCUCCUUCCAAUUUUCUAACUCUUUUUAAAAAAACUGUUGUGUUCUCUUAGCGCAGUGGGAUCUCUAAACACCGCUGCGGUAGCUGACUUUCUGAGGGUUUGGUAUUAUUAGAGGGUUUUUAAAACAGCACGGAUGGCCUGAUUUUAAACGAGGCCCUUGCAAAGUAUAGAUUGAACACAGGAGCGCAGUUCUGGUGCAGCGUGCAUGAAGAAAGAUGUGCUAAAACUAGCCUGGCAGUGAGCGGAUGGGUGGUAUCAGACACAAUCUGAGAGCUAAAUCUGCAGCAGUGUGCAUGUCUUCCCCCAACAAGCAUGUGUGUGUGUGUGUGUGUGUGUGUGUGUGUGUGUGUGUGUGUGUGGGUGUGUGUGUGUGUGUGUUUAAACAGGCCUUUAGAUCGCCUAAAGCUUCCACUCUGUCAGACAAUGUGUGUGUGCUGAUUAAAAAAAUGUGCAUGUUCCUCACUUCUAUACACUGUUUUUAAGGUGUCAGUCCACUAGUAUUUUUUUUCUAUAUUCUUUUCAGUAACAUUGCCAAAAAUAUACAAAGAUACACACACACACACACACACACAC
This is a long non-coding RNA of Austrofundulus limnaeus, 5372 nucleotides long. RefSeq lists it as uncharacterized. NCBI's taxonomy places the organism in Eukaryota, Metazoa, Chordata, Actinopteri, Cyprinodontiformes, Rivulidae. The record is from RefSeq and is a predicted model, not a curated record. The transcript has 2 exons.